Molecule: ribosomal RNA, 433 nt
Filed under: uncultured bacterium
Lineage: Bacteria
Description: bacterial SSU rRNA
Rfam family: Bacterial small subunit ribosomal RNA
Source: RNAcentral
ACGAACGCUGGCGGCGUGGAUAAGGCAUGCAAGUCACGGGGGCCGCAAGGCAACCGGCGAACGAGGUAGUAACACGUAGGAAUCUCCCCCAGAGUCGGGAAUAGCUCAUCGAAAGAUGGGGUAAUACCCGAUGGUCUCGUAAGAGUAAAGCAGCAAUGCGCUUUGGGAAGAGCCUGCGGGAUAUCAGCUAGUUGGUAGGGUAAUGGCCUACCAAGGCGAUGACGUCUAGGGGACCUGAGAGGGUGACCCCCACCGAUGGGACUGCGACACGGCCCAUACACCUACGGGUGGCAGCAGCCGAGAAUAUUCGACAAUGGACGAAAGUCUGAUCGAGCGACGCCGCGUGAUGGAUGAAGUCCUUCGGGAUGUAAACAUCUUUUCCAGGGGAGAAAUUUUUGAUGUUACCCUGGGAAUAAGAGGUUGCUAAACUCGU